UGUAAGCGUAUACCAAAGUUGUUGCAGUUAAAACGCUCGUAGUCGGAAUUUGGCAGUUCCGGAUGUGUGCACGUCGUGUGCGCACUUCGCGGGGAUUGCUUUUGUGGUCUUGCGUAGGAUGAGGCACUUUUAUUAGUGAACGUCCUCACGCAACCACUUUUUACUGUGAGAAAAUCAGAGUGCUCAAAGCAGGCAUUUGCCGUGAAUGUAUUAGCAUGGAAUAAUAGAAUAGGACUUGGUUCUAUUUUGUUGGUUUGUUGGGACUGAGUAAUGAUUAAGAGGGACAGUUGGGGGCAUUUGUAUUUCGGUGCUAGAGGUGAAAUUCUUAGAUUACCGAAAGACAAACUGCUGCGAAAGCGUCUGCCAAGGAUGUUAUCAUUGA
This 382-nucleotide ribosomal RNA is filed under the name uncultured eukaryote. RNAcentral's name for it is "partial 18S ribosomal RNA". It matches the Rfam family "Eukaryotic small subunit ribosomal RNA", at positions 592 to 976 of the family's 1831-position model. The record is from RNAcentral.